GACGAACGCUGGCGGCGUGCUUAACACAUGCAAGUCGAACGGAAAGGCCCUGCUUUUGUGGGGUGCUCGAGUGGCGAACGGGUGAGUAACACGUGAGUAACCUGCCCCUGACUUUGGGAUAACUUCAGGAAACUGGGGCUAAUACCGGAUAGGAGCUCCUGCUGCAUGGUGGGGGUUGGAAAGUUUCGGCGGUUGGGGAUGGACUCGCGGCUUAUCAGCUUGUUGGUGGGGUAGUGGCUUACCAAGGCUUUGACGGGUAGCCGGCCUGAGAGGGUGACCGGCCACAUUGGGACUGAGAUACGGCUCAGACUCCUACGGGAGGCAGCAGUGGGGAAUAUUGCACAAUGGGCGGAAGCCUGAUGCAGCAACGCCGCGUGCGGGAUGACGGCCUUCGGGUUGUAAACCGCUUUCGCCUGUGACGAAGCGUGAGUGACGGUAAUGGGUAAAGAAGCACCGGCUAACUACGUG
This 468-nucleotide ribosomal RNA is filed under the name uncultured bacterium. RNAcentral describes it as "partial 16S ribosomal RNA". It matches the Rfam family "Bacterial small subunit ribosomal RNA", at positions 28 to 507 of the family's 1533-position model. The record is from RNAcentral.